AAGGUAGCGAAAUUCCUUGUCGGGCAAGUUCCGACCUGCACGAAUGGCAUAAUGAUGGCCACACUGUCUCCUCCUGAGACUCAGUGAAGUUGAAGUGUUUGUGAUGAUGCAAUCUCCCCGCGGCUAGACGGAAAGACCCCAUGAACCUUAACUGUAGCUUUGCAUUGGACUUUGAACCGAUCUGUGUAGGAUAGGCGGGAGGCUUUGAAGAAUGGACGCCAGUUCAUUCGGAGCCGUUGUUGAAAUACCGCCCUGAUUUGUUUGAGGUUCUAACCUGGGACAGUCAUCCUGUCCGGGGACCGUGCAUGGUAGGCAGUUUGACUGGGGCGGUCUCCUCCUAAAGGGUAACGGAGGAGUGCGAAGGUACGCUAGGUACGGUCGGAAAUCGUGCUGAUAGUGCAAUGGCAAAAGCGUGCUUGACUGCGAGACCCACAAGUCGAGCAGAUACGAAAGUAGGUCAUAGUGAUCCGGUGGCUCUGUAUGGAAGGGCCAUCGCUCAACGGAUAAAAGGUACUCUGGGGAUAACAGGCUGAUACCGCCCAAGAGUUCAUAUCGACGGCGGUGUUUGGCACCUCGAUGUCGGCUCAUCUCAUCCUGGGGCUGUAGCCGGUCCCAAGGGUAUGGCUGUUCGCCAUUUAAAGAGGUACGUGAGCUGGGUUUAAAACGUCGUGAGACAGUUUGGUCCCUAUCUACCGCGGGCGCUGGAAGAUUGACAGGGGCUGCUCCUAGUACGAGAGGACCGGAGUGGACGCAUCACUGGUGCAACUGUUGUCGUGCCAACGGCAUAGCAGGGAAGCGAAAUGCGGAUGGGAUAAACGCUGAAGGCAUCUAAGCGGGAAACUUGCCUGAAGAUAAGUCUUCCUGGAGGCUAGACCUCCCUAAAGAGUCGUUCGAGACCAGGACGUUGAUAGGCCAGGUGUGGAAGCGCUGUGAGGCGUGAAGCUAACUGGUACUAAUUGCCCGUGCGGCUUGAUCCU
This 977-nucleotide ribosomal RNA is filed under the name human gut metagenome. RNAcentral's name for it is "bacterial LSU rRNA". It matches the Rfam family "Bacterial large subunit ribosomal RNA", at positions 1953 to 2925 of the family's 2925-position model. The record is from RNAcentral.